This 253-nucleotide ribosomal RNA is filed under the name uncultured bacterium. RNAcentral describes it as "partial 16S ribosomal RNA". It matches the Rfam family "Bacterial small subunit ribosomal RNA", at positions 524 to 776 of the family's 1533-position model. The record is from RNAcentral.
UACAGAGGUCUCAAGCGUUGUUCGGAUUCAUUGGGCGUAAAGGGCGCGUAGGCGGCUUUGCAAGUGGCGGGUGAAAUCCCUCGGCUUAACCGAGGAACUGCCUGUCAAACUGCAUGGCUUGAGACCAGGAGAGGUGAGUGGAAUUCCCAGUGUAGCGGUGAAAUGCGUAGAUAUUGGGAGGAACACCAGUGGCGAAGGCGGCUCACUGGACUGGUACUGACGCUGAUGCGCGAAAGCGUGGGGAGCAAACAGG